UAUUCCAAACUUGGAAUCCACAGAAAUAGUAUUAAAAAGAGCUCAUCCUCGUUGUCACCUUCAGGUUGAUCCUAAGCAUGCCGACGUGGAUGCUAAAUCCUUCCGGAUUACUGCACGGAUUUGUAUAUCUCCCCUUCGAUCUCCACCGAACUUCCAGCCCAAUCAUGGUCGUCGUUGGAUCGAGCUGAUCAUGUAGCUAGCGUGUGGUAUCAUGGGCCAGAUUGUACUGCUACCACUUCAGAAUUAAGCCACCUAUGUCGUCUCUCUCGCUGCAGGCUGCAGCUGCCUGCCUUUGAUCUUUCUUAUCUCCUUCUCUUCCUCCUCGAUCCAUGGUCAAGUGAUCGUAUCUUCAAUUCCUACAAUGGCGAUGCCGUGGGAGACGGUGGCGUGCAUCCUGCGGAACGUGUGGGCGCUGCUCGACGGCUGGAUCGCCGUCUGCUGCCUCGCCGCCGACGAGCUCGCGGGCCUCCUCCGCUCGGCGCUCGGUUAGCUGAUCGACGACGUGCUCGAUCGGCGCGCGUGGCCGAUCGAGCUAACUAACUACUCCACUAAUUAACUGCAGGUCUUUCAUGUUGCACGGAGAAGAGGCUGAUCGAUGUACAGACAAUUUCUUUUUUUUCUUUGUUAAUGUAACUAUGUUAAUGGUGAAGUGAUCAUGCCUUUUUGUUCUGAAAAAGAAGGUAGAUCAAUUAAUGUACAGACGUGAAUGUGCAGGAUAUAUAUUGUAAAUUUUGAACUUCAUUUGUUAUAGAUUAAUUAUUGAUGUAUACACGAGGCUCU
This is a long non-coding RNA of Oryza sativa Japonica Group (Japanese rice), 780 nucleotides long. RefSeq lists it as uncharacterized. The record is from RefSeq and is a predicted model, not a curated record. NCBI's taxonomy places the organism in Eukaryota, Viridiplantae, Streptophyta, Magnoliopsida, Poales, Poaceae.